CCCAUAGAUGUUCUGGGCCGCACGCGCGCUACACUGACGAUGGCAACGAGUUUUUCCUUCGCCGAAAGGUGUGGGUAAUCUUUUGAAACAUCGUCGUGCUGGGGAUAGAUCAUUGCAAUUUUUGAUCUUGAACGAGGAAUUCCUAGUAAGCGCGAGUCAUCAGCUCGCGUUGAUUACGUCCCUGCCCUUUGUACACACCGCCCGUCGCUACUACCGAUUGAAUGGUUUAGUGAGGACUCCUGAUUGGCGCCGCCGCCCCGGCAACGGAGCAGCGGACUGCCGAAAAGUUGUUCAAACUUGAUCAUUUAGAGGAAGUAAAAGUCGUAACA
RNAcentral lists this ribosomal RNA (329 nucleotides) under uncultured eukaryote. RNAcentral describes it as "partial 18S ribosomal RNA". It matches the Rfam family "Eukaryotic small subunit ribosomal RNA", at positions 1470 to 1796 of the family's 1831-position model. The record is from RNAcentral.